AGCACAUUGAGCAAGGGAGGACGUUUGUUCUACAGCAAGGGUUAGUAAACUGGAGGGAAGGAAAAAGCCGGUCCAGGUUUUGUACCAUAGAAAAAAGGCUUUCCCUACUCAAAGAUCGCUAAAGCAGGCGAUUUUAGAAGACUUGUGCCU
Rhinopithecus roxellana (golden snub-nosed monkey) is the source of this 150-nucleotide long non-coding RNA. RefSeq lists it as uncharacterized. The record is from RefSeq and is a predicted model, not a curated record. The transcript has 3 exons. Lineage: Eukaryota; Metazoa; Chordata; Mammalia; Primates; Cercopithecidae.